GCCGGCUUAGCUCAGUUGGUAGAGCAGUUGCUUUGUAAGCAUCAGGUCGUCCGUUCGAGUCGGACAGCCGGCCCCA
This 76-nucleotide transfer RNA is filed under the name Gammaproteobacteria bacterium. Its description in RNAcentral is "tRNA-Thr". It matches the Rfam family "tRNA". Rfam says of the family: Transfer RNA (tRNA) molecules are approximately 80 nucleotides in length. Their secondary structure includes four short double-helical elements and three loops (D, anti-codon, and T loops). Further hydrogen bonds mediate the characteristic L-shaped molecular structure. tRNAs have two regions of fundamental functional importance: the anti-codon, which is responsible for specific mRNA codon recognition, and the 3' end, to which the tRNAs corresponding amino acid is attached (by aminoacyl-tRNA synthetases). tRNAs cope with the degeneracy of the genetic code in two manners: having more than one tRNA (with a specific anti-codon) for a particular amino acid; and 'wobble' base-pairing, i.e. permitting non-standard base-pairing at the 3rd anti-codon position. The record is from RNAcentral. RNAcentral also lists the same sequence under 1 other name. Lineage: Bacteria; Pseudomonadati; Pseudomonadota; Gammaproteobacteria.